AUGUGUCUAUUUUAUCUCUCAGAUGCUAAAUAUUUAUGAUCUGAUUACCAUCAAUAAGAAGUCUCAGUUUUUGGUCUUGAAGAAUAAUGAGACGGUCAAAGCUUAGUAAGUCCACAUUUGCCAAGCCUAUCCUUCUUCAAUUUAUCAGUUGUCUAAACUGGUUAACUCAAAAGUUGUUUCUGUUUUUACAACAACAACGACCACAGUGAAGUUCCAUUAGUGGAGUAUGGGGAGGGUAGUGUGUACGCAGACCUUAGCCCUACCCCAAGGGUAGAAAGACUAUUUCCGAAAGACCCUCGGAUCAAGAGGACGAAUUUUUUUCUUCUGUUUUUUUUUUUUAAAUAAUUUUUGUUUUUUGCCUUUUUCGUGUCAUUCCCUAAUCGCUUGUCUUUGGUUCUUCUUCGUGAUAGAGAGUAUGGGGUCAUUUCUAGAUAUACCCUUUGUGUUGCUGUUAUUAAUAUGUAUUGUCUUCAGAUUCAAGGAGAAUGAUCAGCAUCUAUGCACUGACAAUCUUUUCCUUUUUCCGGAUGAUAGGGACGAUGCUUUUGAUGAUGAUUUUGACAAGAUAUAGAUAGGUAAGCAUGGGAUUAUUCUUCACUAUAAAUCAGUAUUUUACCACUUAGAUAUCUGUAUAUCUCCAAUCGCAGGAAAUGCUGAAACCAUAACUAUGUUCAGAAAUUUGACUUUCUGGAAUAGUUAUGUGAACCGUGUCAUGAUGUAUAUGUUCCACUUUUUUAAUGAGAGGACUCCUUCAUUAUGUAACUUAUUUGAACAUCCCAAGUACAAUGUAUAUGGUGGAUAUUUCAUUCAUCUGUCUUCGUAACCUUUUCUUUCCGCAGGGAAGGGGGGGGGGGGGAGGGGGGUAACGGGGCGGGGAAUGAUAUGCUCCAAUGUUGGAACUUGUGGGUUGCUGCUAUAUUCUUGCUACCUUUGAAUUUUUUCUCCAGCUCCACGAAUGAAUUGUACUUUGUGCAUUAUGUAUGUCAUAUCAAUUGAAGUAUGAUGUUAAAUAUCCAUGUUCCAUGCUUAAAGUAAUAGAUCUCACUUGUAGUUAUUCCCAAUUCCUUGAGAACUUUUAAGAGUAGUUUAACUAAGUAUGAUCUGAAUAGUUCAGCUCGAGUCUAAAUGUUAUGGUAUUUGGAGUUAGUUCUAGGUUAGCUCUCACGCUUUGAUAGUUUUUGCUAACUUUUUGUGAAGCCUGCAGAAAGGUGAAAUAUUGGAAACUAAGAUCAUACAUUGGCUACUUGCUGCUCGGAGAAGUUGGGGUUGAAAUACAUCUGUAUGUACUCAUAUGGGUAAUGCACGAUAAUCCAGCUCAUAUGAAAUAGACAACUACUCAAAAAAUUGCCACCUUCCUCAGCUCUUUCAUCUUGUCCAUUUCUUCGUUCUUUUUCUUUCUUUCAACUUUUAUUUUCGCUGGAGUUGCAGAAGAUAAGGUAGGUGGCCAAGGAGGACAGUUGAUAUAUAAUGUUCAUUUCAAAGGUGUAAAGUUGAAAUUCAUUUAGUGGCCUUAUCAUUCACCUUUUGUUUAGAGAUGGAUGAGUAAAAAUUGGAAGAGUGAAAUUUAGUGGGCGUUUGGACAUAAAGAAUUGUAAAAUUCCGGAAAAAA
This 1609-nucleotide long non-coding RNA is filed under the name Nicotiana tabacum (common tobacco). RNAcentral describes it as "long non-coding RNA (NTAB_LNC013625)". The record is from RNAcentral. Lineage: Eukaryota; Viridiplantae; Streptophyta; Magnoliopsida; Solanales; Solanaceae.